This 292-nucleotide ribosomal RNA is filed under the name uncultured Acinetobacter sp. RNAcentral describes it as "partial 16S ribosomal RNA". It matches the Rfam family "Bacterial small subunit ribosomal RNA", at positions 505 to 796 of the family's 1533-position model. The record is from RNAcentral. Lineage: Bacteria; Pseudomonadati; Pseudomonadota; Gammaproteobacteria; Moraxellales; Moraxellaceae.
GUGUCAGCCGCCGUGGUAAUACAGAGGGUGCAAGCGUUAAUCGGAUUUACUGGGCGUAAAGCGCGCGUAGGUGGUUAAUUAAGUCAAAUGUGAAAUCCCCGAGCUUAACUUGGGAAUUGCAUUCGAUACUGGUUAGCUAGAGUAUGGGAGAGGAUGGUAGAAUUCCAGGUGUAGCGGUGAAAUGCGUAGAGAUCUGGAGGAAUACCGAUGGCGAAGGCAGCCAUCUGGCCUAAUACUGACACUGAGGUGCGAAAGCAUGGGGAGCAAACAGGAUUAGAAACCCGCGUAGUCC